Molecule: non-coding RNA, 1241 nt
Organism: Nicotiana tabacum (common tobacco)
Lineage: Eukaryota; Viridiplantae; Streptophyta; Magnoliopsida; Solanales; Solanaceae
Source: RefSeq, a predicted model, not a curated record
UUUUUUUUGGUAAAUAGAUAAAUUACUAUCUGUCUUUUUUUUCUUUUUUGGUGAAAGUGGAGAUGAUCUUCCAUUAUAAUUACACUGAUUAUCUACCGAGUUUCAGAGGUAUAAAUUUCUGAGUAUCAAAAAAAGAAGAAAUUUGCAGCUUAAAAGCGUGAAAAUGGUACGAUCUUUAUAAGAACCAUGCGGCAUGGACUUCCAAGAAUACCAGCUAUUCAUUUGGCUUAAAAGUUGUUUUAUUCUAAAUUUGUUUUGUUUCUUCGUCUUUUGGUUUAUCUUGAUUAUUGCAACAUUUGGUUUCUUCUGUGAUUUUCUAAUAAGUAUUAAAUUUAUAUUGUUUUCUUCAGUGCUCGUUCACCCGGAGAAGCUUCUCCUGCACAACAAGAUGCUAUUCAACUAAUAAAUCGUCUAUCUACUGGCAGUAACAAUCAGGGACAGUGGGAAAAAAAAGAGAUAAGGUUUGGGUGAUUAGCUCCAGCCAAAGGUUUAAACAAGCCUAAAUUCCAGCCUUGAUUUAAACAGGAAAACAAACGACAAGCUUCUUUGCUUAGUCUUUCUCUUUCCUGAUUUGGCAGCUAAUGCAUAUUUAUUCUGAUUUGCAAAGAAAAUAGAAGUUUGACUGAUCAUAUAGUGAUUAUAAUGUGGUUUAUCCUUACCAUUCGCAAAAAAAUUAGUGAUCAUGAUGUGGUUUGUAAAAAUGUGAUGUGAACAUUCUGAACAUUCUUCAGUACAUGGAGAAUUUCCUUACCCCUGUUAAUUGCCAGUCAAUAUUUUGGAUUUUCUUUGCUCCCUGAACUUAGCUUAGCCAACAUUGUACUGGAGCUAGCAUUGCUUUUGUUUUUUUUAACUACUUUGCAUCUUCGCCUUUCAAUGAUAAUGCUCUUACUUCAAAAAAAAAAAAAACAAAAAAAAACUUCGAUCAGUAUGUAGGAAUGGAAAUGCUGUCAUUUGGAGAAUGUAAAUUUAGGUGAAACAGCUGAUGCUACUUUUUGGUUGCGCAAAGAGGCUUGUAAAGAUAUUGCCAAUAUCUUGUCAGGAUCAACAGUGCCAUGUCAGCGCCGAAGUCAAUGUUGCUAUGUCACAGAGGUGGGUUAAAACAAUGUGGUUUAACUUUUCUCUGCUGGAUCCGUAUAAUAGUAUUGCAAACAUUUAUCUAAAUUAUUCUUGUUUGACUGAAGAUGUGUGGCAAGACAUCUAUCUAACAUUGUUUAGAUUUUAAUUGCCGACAUUAAUUUGAA